Molecule: non-coding RNA, 70 nt
Organism: Dipodomys ordii (Ord's kangaroo rat)
Lineage: Eukaryota; Metazoa; Chordata; Mammalia; Rodentia; Heteromyidae
Source: Rfam
GGGAUUGUGGCUUAGUGGUAGAGUGCUUGCCUAGCAUGCAUGAAGCCCUGGGUUCCGUUCCUCAAUACCA